AUUGAACGCUGGCGGCAUGCCUUACACAUGCAAGUCGAACGGUAACGGGCUUUCGGGUGCCGACGAGUGGCGAACGGGUGAGUAAUACAUCGGAACGUGCCCGAUCGUGGGGGAUAACGAGGCGAAAGCUUUGCUAAUACCGCAUACGAUCUACGGAUGAAAGCAGGGGACCGCAAGGCCUUGCGCGGACGGAGCGGCCGAUGGCAGAUUAGGUAGUUGGUGGGAUAAAAGCUUACCAAGCCGACGAUCUGUAGCUGGUCUGAGAGGAUGAUCAGCCACACUGGGACUGAGACACGGCCCAGACUCCUACGGGAGGCAGCAGUGGGGAAUUUUGGACAAUGGGCGCAAGCCUGAUCCAGCCAUGCCGCGUGCAGGAUGAAGGCCUUCGGGUUGUAAACUGCUUUUGUACGGAACGAAAAGCCUUCUUCUAAUACAGGAGGGUCAUGACGGUACCGUAAGAAUAAGCACCGGCUAACUACGUGCCAGCAGCCGCAGUAA
RNAcentral lists this ribosomal RNA (498 nucleotides) under uncultured bacterium. RNAcentral describes it as "partial 16S ribosomal RNA". It matches the Rfam family "Bacterial small subunit ribosomal RNA", at positions 30 to 523 of the family's 1533-position model. The record is from RNAcentral.